CCUACGGGGGGCUGCAGUAAGGAAUAUUGGUCAAUGGACGAAAGUCUGAACCAGCCAUCCCGCGUGCAGGAUGAAAGCCCUAUGGGUUGUAAACUGCUUUUAGCAGAGAAGAAAAGCUUUCAUUAAUGAGAGUCUGACGGUAUCUGCAGAAUAAGCACCGGCUAACUCCGUGCCAGCAGCCGCGGUAAUACGGAGGGUGCGGGAGUUAUCCGGAAUUACUGGGUUUUAGGGGUAGGAAUAAGGAGGUGGUGAAAUGUUGUGGCUUAACGGUAAAAUUGCGAAUGAGACUGGUACUCUUGAAUUGGGUUGAGGUUAGCGGAAUGUGACAUGUAGCGGUGAAAUGCAUAGAUAUGUCAUGGAACACCAAUUGCGAAGGCAGCUAACUGGGCCUUGAUUGACGCUGAGGCACGAAAGCGUGGGUAGCGAACAGGAUUAGAUACCCCAGUAGUC
This 450-nucleotide ribosomal RNA is filed under the name uncultured bacterium. RNAcentral describes it as "partial 16S ribosomal RNA". It matches the Rfam family "Bacterial small subunit ribosomal RNA", at positions 338 to 795 of the family's 1533-position model. The record is from RNAcentral.